RNAcentral lists this unclassified non-coding RNA (253 nucleotides) under uncultured Gammaproteobacteria bacterium. RNAcentral describes it as "contains 16S-23S intergenic spacer region". It matches the Rfam family "Bacterial small subunit ribosomal RNA", at positions 524 to 776 of the family's 1533-position model. The record is from RNAcentral. Lineage: Bacteria; Pseudomonadati; Pseudomonadota; Gammaproteobacteria.
UACAGAGGGUGCAAGCGUUAAUCGGAAUUACUGGGCGUAAAGCGCACGUAGGCGGGUAGAUAAGUUGGAUGUGAAAGCCCUGGGCUUAACCUGGGAAAGUCAUUCGAUACUGUUUACCUAGAGUAUGGUAGAGGCAAGCGGAAUUCUCGGUGUAGCGGUGAAAUGCGUAGAUAUCGGGAGGAACAUCAGUGGCGAAGGCGGCUUGCUGGGCCAUAACUGACGCUGAGGAGCGAAAGCGUGGGUAGCGAACAGG